This 785-nucleotide ribosomal RNA is filed under the name uncultured Pelagibacterales bacterium. RNAcentral's name for it is "bacterial SSU rRNA". It matches the Rfam family "Bacterial small subunit ribosomal RNA", at positions 54 to 888 of the family's 1533-position model. Lineage: Bacteria; Pseudomonadati; Pseudomonadota; Alphaproteobacteria; Candidatus Pelagibacterales. The record is from RNAcentral.
CAUGCAAGUCGAACGAAGUAGCAAUACUUAGUGGCAGACGGGUGAGUAACAUGUGGGUAUCUACCCUUUGGCCUGGAAUAACACGAGGAAACUUGUGCUAAUACCGGAUAAGUCUUUACGGAGAAAGCUUUAUGCACCAUUGGAUGAGCCCGCACUAGAUUAGUUUGUUGGUGGGGUAAUGGCCUACCAAGACUGUGAUCUAUAGCUGAUUUGAGAGGAUGAUCAGCCACAUUGGGACUGAGACACGGCCCAAACUCCUACGGGAGGCAGCAGUGGGGAAUCUUGCACAAUGGAGGAAACUCUGAUGCAGCGAUGCCGCGUGAGUGAAGAAGGCCUUUGGGUUGUAAAGCUCUUUCGUCGGGGAAGAAAAUGACUGUACCCGAAUAAGAAGGUCCGGCUAACUUCGUGCCAGCAGCCGCGGUAAUACGAAGGGACCUAGCGUAGUUCGGAAUUACUGGGCUUAAAGAGUUCGUAGGUGGUUAAAAUAGUUGGUGGUGAAAUCCCAGAGCUUAACUCUGGAACUGCCAUCAAAACUUUUUAGCUAGAGUAUGAUAGAGGAAAGUAGAAUUUCUAGUGUAGAGGUGAAAUUCGUAGAUAUUAGAAAGAAUACCGAUUGCGAAGGCAGCUUUCUGGAUCAUUACUGACACUGAGGAACGAAAGCAUGGGUAGCGAAGAGGAUUAGAUACCCUCGUAGUCCAUGCCGUAAACGAUGUGUGUUAGAUGUUGGAAAUUUAUUUUCAGUGUCGCAGCGAAAGCAAUAAACACACCGCUGGGGAGUACGACCG